GAUGAACGCUGGCGGCGUGCCUAAUACAUGCAAGUCGAGCGAACAGACGAGGAGCUUGCUCCUCUGACGUUAGCGGCGGACGGGUGAGUAACACGUGGAUAACCUACCUAUAAGACUGGGAUAACUUCGGGAAACCGGAGCUAAUACCGGAUAAUAUAUUGAACCGCAUGGUUCAAUAGUGAAAGACGGUUUUGCUGUCACUUAUAGAUGGAUCCGCGCCGUAUUAGCUAGUUGGUAAGGUAACGGCUUACCAAGGCAACGAUGCGUAGCCGACCUGAGAGGGUGAUCGGCCACACUGGAACUGAGACACGGUCCAGACUCCUACGGGAGGCAGCAGUAGGGAAUCUUCCGCAAUGGGCGAAAGCUUGACGGAGCAACGCCGCGUGAGUGAUGAAGGUCUUCGGAUCGUAAAACUCUGUUAUUAGGGAAGAACGAAUGUGUAAGUAACUAUGCACGUCUUGACGGUACCUAAUCAGAAAGCCACGGCUAACUACGUG
This 497-nucleotide ribosomal RNA is filed under the name uncultured bacterium. RNAcentral describes it as "partial 16S ribosomal RNA". It matches the Rfam family "Bacterial small subunit ribosomal RNA", at positions 28 to 507 of the family's 1533-position model. The record is from RNAcentral.